RNAcentral lists this ribosomal RNA (441 nucleotides) under uncultured bacterium. Its description in RNAcentral is "partial 16S ribosomal RNA". It matches the Rfam family "Bacterial small subunit ribosomal RNA", at positions 338 to 795 of the family's 1533-position model. The record is from RNAcentral.
CCUACGGGAGGCAGCAGUGGGGGAUAUUGCACAAUGGGGGGAACCCUGAUGCAGCGACGCCGCGUGGGUGAAGGAGCGUUUCGGUGCGUAAAGCCCUAUCGGCAGGGAAGAAGGAGGACGGUACCUGACUAAGAAGCCCCGGCGAACUACGUGCCAGCAGCCGCGGUAAUACGUAGGGGGCAAGCGUUAUCCGGAUUUACGGGGGGUAAAGGGGGCGCAGACGGCAGCGCAAGCCAGGAGUGAAAGCCCGGGGACCAACCCCGGGACUGCUCUUGGAACUGCGCGGCUGGAGUGCAGGAGGGGCAGGCGGAAUUCCUGGUGUAGCGGUGAAAUGCGUAGAUAUCAGGAGGAACACCGGUGGCGAAGGCGGACUGCUGGACUGCGACUGACGUUGAGGCCCGAAAGCGUGGGGAGCAAACAGGAUUAGAUACCCCGGUAGUC